Molecule: ribosomal RNA, 99 nt
Filed under: Schizochytrium aggregatum
Lineage: Eukaryota; Bigyra; Thraustochytrida; Thraustochytriidae
Also listed under: 1 other name
Description: partial Bacterial large subunit ribosomal RNA
Rfam family: Archaeal large subunit ribosomal RNA (bases 11-91)
Source: RNAcentral
UAUAAAAAGAAACGAAGUGAAUUGAAGUAUCUUAGUAGCUUCAGGAAAAUAAAUCAAACGAGAUUCUAUUAGUAGUGUGAAUGAAAAUAGAUAAAGGCU